UUGGUAUGACGGCGUCGUCGUCGUUGUCCGAAGACACAUUGGUUUUCGCACUCUAACUUUAGUUUAAGUGAAUGGAUCUCUAUGAAAUUUUACCAUAAGGUUCAAUACCACAAAAGGAAGGUUGGGAUUGAUUUUGGGGGUUAUGGUACCAACAGUUAAGGAAUUAGGGGCCAAAAAGGGGUCAAAAAUAAGCAUUUUGGUAACUUCCAGACAUAACUUGUGUGUUAGUGUAUGGAUCUCUCAGACAUUGUACCACAAGGUUCCAUAUCACAAAGGGAAUGCAGGGAUUGAUUUUGGGGGUAAUUGCCUUAAAAUUUUAGGAAUUAGGGGCCAAAAAUGGGGCAAAAAACAAGCAUUUUUCUAGUUUCAUGAUAAUAACUUGUGUGUAAGUGUAUGGAUCUUUCUGAAAUUGUACUACAAGGUUCCAUAUCACAAAGGGAAAGCUGGAAUUGAGUUUGGGGGUAAUUGCCCAAAACGUUUAGGAAUAAGGGGCCUCAAAGGGGCCAAAAAUAAGCUUUUUUCUAGUUUCCAGACAAUAACUUGUGUUCAAGUGUAUGGAUCUUUCUGAAAUUGUACUGCAAGGUACCAUACCACAAAGGGAAGGCUGGGAUUGAUUUUGGGGGUAAUUGCCUCAAAAUUUUAGGAAUUAGGGGCCAAAAAGGGGCAAAAAACAAGCAUUUUUCUAGUUUCAGGACAAUAACUUGUGUGUAAGUGUAUGGAUCUUUAUGAAAUUGUACUACAAGGUUCCAUAUCACAAAGUGAAAGCUGGGUUUGAGUUUGGGGGUAAUUGCCCUAAACGUUUAGGAAUUUGGGGCCAAAAAGGGGCCUAAAAACAAGCAUUUUCUAGUUUCCAGACAAUAACUUGUGUUCAAGUGUAUGGAUCUCUCUGAAAUUGUACAGCAAGGUACCAUACCACAAAGGGAAGGCUGGGAUUGAUUUUGGGGGUAAUUGCCUCAAAAUUUUAGGAAUUAGGGGCCAAAAGGGACAAAAAACAAGCAUUUUUCUAGUUUCAGCACAAUAACUUGUGUGUAAGUGUACGGAUCUUUAUGAAAUUGUACUACAAGGUUCCAUAUCACAAAGGGAAAGCUGGGUUUGAGUUUGGGGUUAAUUGCCCUAAAUGUUUUGGAAUUUGGGGCCAAAAAGGGGCCUUAAAACAAGCAUUUUCUAGUUUCCAGACAAUAACUUGUGUUCAAGUGUAUGGAUCCCUCUGAAAUUGUACUGCAAAGUACCAUACCACAAAUGGAAGGCUGUGAUUGAUUUUAGGGGUAAUUGCCUCAAAAUUUUAGGAAUAAGGGGCCAAAAAGGGGCAAAAACAAGCAUUUUUCUAGUUUCAGGACAAUAACUUGUGUGUAAGUGUAUGGAUCUUAUGAAAUUGUACUUCAAGGUUCCAUAUCACAAAGGGAAAGCUGGGUUUGAGUUUGUGGGUAAUUGCCCUAAACGUUUAGGAAUUUGGGGCCAAAAAGGGGCCUUAAAACAAGCAUUUUCUAGUUUCCAGACAAUUACUUGUGUUCAAGUGUAUGGAUCCCUCUGAAAUUGUACUGCAAGGUACCAUACCACAAAGGGAAGGCUGGGAUUGAUUUUGGGGGUAAUUGCCUCAAAAUUUUAGGAAUUAGGGGCCAAAAGGGACAAAAAACAAGCAUUUUUCUAGUUUCAGCACAAUAACUUGUGUGUAAGUGUAUGGAUCUUUAUGAAAUUGUACUACAAGGUUCCAUAUCACAAAGGGAAAGCUGGGUUUGAGUUUGGGGGUAAUUGCCCUAAACGUUUUGGAAUUUGGGGCCAAAAAGGG
Long non-coding RNA from Mytilus californianus (California mussel), 1786 nucleotides. RefSeq lists it as uncharacterized. NCBI's taxonomy places the organism in Eukaryota, Metazoa, Mollusca, Bivalvia, Mytilida, Mytilidae. The transcript is spliced from 2 exons. The record is from RefSeq and is a predicted model, not a curated record.